GUAUUGUAUAGGCCCUGUACUGCAGUUAUGCUGUAUUGUGCAACAUGUAGCAAGUGCUGUGGUUGGCAAGUGUUUUUUUUUUUUUGUAUUUUUUGUAAUGUAGACUUGUACAAAAAUAUUUGCCUAUGGAAUAUUUCACCCGCAUAGAUAUAUAAUAAACCGCACGUUUGAUCUUCCUUCGCGCCAAAGGUCGUUGUCCUGACAACGAGUCUCGCGAGCAGAGGAUUACUUGUAACAGUAAAUCAGCGUCUUUUCCGUAGUGUCUACUGCAGGAUGGAUAUAAAAGUAUAAAACACGUUUUGGUUUGACAACAUCGUUCAUAUGUGAACUAUCACAAUUAAAGCACAAAGACAUAACAACAUUACACCCGAGACCUUUCACAAGUGCGACAAAAGAGAAGAAACGCUUUCCGGAAGAAGUUCAUCAGGCGAGGAGCGUUGACUUUGUCCAGUCAUCAAGUUUAGCGGUGAGUAUAAUGUCUAAUGUCCUCAUAUCUUUAUUUAUAAUUUUAGAGAGAUGUAAAAUGACUUAUUUAAUGACUUAUAUAAAAUGACGGAUAUCUUAUUCAACCCGCUGAGAUGAGAAGAAAACGAGAGGAAACGCCGCUUCAGUGCUGAUCUGUAGCGCACGCGGUCAGUGCGCGAGGUGCUUGUGAUAGAACGACAAACAACUGGUUUAAUGCUGUUUUUACUACACUUUUACUAUAAUAAACACCAACAUCUCAAUCCAGCCAGUGACAACCCUGUGUAUAGAUGUAUUUAACUCUGCUAUGGCUCAGCAAUUUGUUAUAAGCAGUUCUGUAGAAAUUAGUAAUGUCAUUGUCCAGCUCAGUUCAGUUCUCAAUAGCAUCAGUACCAUUUACAAUAAUGGAAUAAACAAAAUUAUACUGAAUACAGUGUAUUUGUUUGUUUGUUUGUUUCUAGGAGAGCAUCAACUCCUAAUUGACAUGAGGAAAAAAUCAUUGAAAAGUGUUCAGUGUGUACCCCUCUUUGCAACAGAGGAAGCAUUAGGAAAGAGGAGAAGAGAGAAAGUGAAAAGGCACUCAACAGAUGUUGGCGAGACUUUAUUUCUGGAAAUGCAUUAAAGGUCACUCACAUUCUAGUUAGCCACAAAUGUAACGUGAUUUUAGAUUUUAGUCUUUAAAUGAGAUCCGUAACUCCAGCUACUUGUAGGCCUACAGUCCUGUAUAUUUCACACUAAAUUGUGAUGCAGCCUGAAUCAUAAUCACACCAUGUUCAUUUGUUGGCCAGAGGAGAACUGAUCCCUAAACUAAAUAUACUCUCUCCCAAGGUUUGUUUUCUCCAUUCUGUCACCUGACAGAGUUUGGGUUCCUUGCCGCUGUCGUCUUUUGGCGUGCUUAUUUGGGGACUAAUAAUAUUCAGCAGUAUUAUUGAUCUGACUCCACUGACACUAUUGGAUGAGUACUGAACUGAGCUAGAUGAUGACACCACUGCUAUCUAGAUGCAUUGAAAUUAUUUUAUAUUUGAUGAUUUUUAUACAGUUAAUCGAAAUUAACUGAGUCAACACUGAUUUCAACUGAACAAUGACGCGUUUUACUGUUUAGAGCUGCUUCACAGCAGAUGUGAAUUCUGUUUGCAUCAUUAUUUUUCUUUUUAUCACUUAAAGCAGCACUGAAACAAUCUGUAUUGUAUAAAGCGCUAUAUAAAUAAUGGUGACUUGACUUAAAUUGGUUCAAAUCUUCAAAAAAAAGUGCAUGAAACAGGCAACCUGAAUAAACACAAAAUACAGUUUAUUAAUGAAACUUGCCUUUGUUUUAUGUUAAUUUUCUUAGGAAUAUCUGACAAUAUUUAGUGCUGAUAUACUCAAAAAUAGAAUAAAUCAGGAUUUUUUUUCACAGCACUGUACACCAGCAUUUAUGUGCUGUAGUGUGACAUUAAUGUGUGGAAAUGGACAUUUUAUCAGUGUGUGAUUGCUAUUUUCAGGAAAUGCACUGGUAACAACUAAAAAAAGACGACCAAAAAUAUAAUUCAACAGAGGAUGAUGGCUGUGGUGAAACAAGCACUCAAAUAAUGGAACAAAGACCAGUGGGAGUGCUGGAGAAAUCAAGUGUAUAAGUCCUCUGUCGUCUCAGCCAUGGAAGAGAUCUUCAGACAUGAAGAGAUCGAGGAGUUAAAUGAAAUCAAAGAGCUAAAGAAGAUCUACAAUAUUAGUGCCAUUUCAGUAUGAAAACAGAGAGAGAGCUGAGGCAGUGGAAAGAAAUGCAUGUUAUUGUUCAAGGGGUAGUUGAAUGGACUAUCAAUGCAGGAACAGAAAGCUCUGAGAUUUCAUUAUAAAGAUCUUCAAUUGUGUUCUGAAGAUGAAUGAAGGACUUGCGGGUUUGGAACGAUAUGAGGACUACAUCCAAAAUAGUGUUUCCACAUCUGAGAUGAAGGCAGUCAUAAGAACCAAGCAAAACGAUGAGGAUAAGCUCUUCAAAAAAUGAAACCCGUCAGAAUAAUGCGGGAAGAAAUGUGCAUGAUUGUGUGAUUUGUAAAUAAACACUAAAUACAUUUAGUGUAACUCUCAGCCUGUUAUUUUAAGUUUAAAGAAAAGUAAAAUCAUUUAUUGUUGCAUUGCUGUUUGAGACAUUCACUGUUAUUUUGUACCUUAAUUUAUUAUAUUGCAGUUGUGUAAAAUAAAACUUGUUAUUCUGAAUAU
This is a long non-coding RNA of Onychostoma macrolepis, 2658 nucleotides long. RefSeq lists it as uncharacterized. The transcript has 4 exons. The record is from RefSeq and is a predicted model, not a curated record. NCBI's taxonomy places the organism in Eukaryota, Metazoa, Chordata, Actinopteri, Cypriniformes, Cyprinidae.